This 303-nucleotide ribosomal RNA is filed under the name uncultured bacterium. Its description in RNAcentral is "partial 16S ribosomal RNA". It matches the Rfam family "Bacterial small subunit ribosomal RNA", at positions 507 to 809 of the family's 1533-position model. The record is from RNAcentral.
AGCAGUAGCCACGGUAAUACGUAGGUGGCAAGCGUUGUCCGGGAUUAUUGGGCGUAAAGCGCGCGCAGGCGGAUAGGUCAGUCUGUCCUAAAAGUUCGGGGCUUAACCCCGUGAUGGGAUGGAAACUGCCAAUCUAGAGUAUCGGAGAGGAAAGUGGAAUUCCUAGUGUAGCGGUGAAAUGCGUAGAUAUUAGGAAGAACACCAGUGGCGAAGGCGACUUUCUGGACGAAAACUGACGCUGAGGCGCGAAAGCCAGGGGAGCGAACGGGAUUAGAUACCCCCGUAGUCCCUGUCUCUUAUACA